Molecule: transfer RNA, 83 nt
Filed under: Erythrocladia irregularis
Lineage: Eukaryota; Rhodophyta; Compsopogonophyceae; Erythropeltidales; Erythrotrichiaceae
Also listed under: 2 other names
Description: tRNA-Leu
Rfam family: tRNA
About the family: Transfer RNA (tRNA) molecules are approximately 80 nucleotides in length. Their secondary structure includes four short double-helical elements and three loops (D, anti-codon, and T loops). Further hydrogen bonds mediate the characteristic L-shaped molecular structure. tRNAs have two regions of fundamental functional importance: the anti-codon, which is responsible for specific mRNA codon recognition, and the 3' end, to which the tRNAs corresponding amino acid is attached (by aminoacyl-tRNA synthetases). tRNAs cope with the degeneracy of the genetic code in two manners: having more than one tRNA (with a specific anti-codon) for a particular amino acid; and 'wobble' base-pairing, i.e. permitting non-standard base-pairing at the 3rd anti-codon position.
Source: RNAcentral
GGGGAUGUGGUGGAAUGGUAGACACGACAGACUUAAAAUCUGUUGGCUUCGCGGUCGUGAGGGUUCAAGUCCCUCCAUCCCCA